CCUGGUUGAUCCUGCCAGUAGUCAUAUGCUUGUCUCAAAGAUUAAGCCAUGCAUGUCUAAGUAAAAAUUUAAUAAUGGUGAAACUGCAAAUGGCUCAUUACAACGGUUAUGAUGUACCCGGGAUCUCCGAUGGAUAUUUCCAGUAACACUAGAGCUAAUACAUGUUUCUGCGUUUAUUAGUUUCAAACAAAAUUGUUGCUGAGUCAUGGUAAACGGUUGAUCGAUUCGACAUCCCGGAACAGUUUCCGCCCCAUCAGCUUCGAUGGUUGGGUAUUGGCCUACCAUUGCAACAACGGGUGACGAGGAAUUAGGGUUUGAUUUCGGAGAGGGAGCCUGAGAAACGGCUACCACAUCUACGGAUGGCAGCAGGCGCGCAAAUUACCCAAUGCAGACUCUGUGAGGUAGUGACGAGAAAUAAUAAAGUAUGGCUUAUGCUAUACUAUUAUAAUGAGGAAUAACUAAAUGUCAUUCCUAUUAGCAACUGAUGGGAAAGUCUGGUGCCAGCAGCCGCGGUAAUACCAGCUUCAGGAGCAUAUACUAAAAUUGUUGCAGUUAAAACGUCCGUAGUCUGUACGUCGUCAAUGACUUUACUACUGCGCUAAUUGUUCUUGCAACGAUUAGAUUGCUUGUAGUUACUCCCUUGAUCAAAAUAGACUGUUCAAGGUAGACCGAGUCUUUAUAUUUUCACAUGGAAUUGGGUGAAGGAACUUAAGAGGUUAGGUUUCUCGUCUUAGGAGCAUUUAGGGAUAUUAGUACUUGGCCGCGAGAGGCGAAAUUUUUGGACCGGUCAAAGACUAACAGCAGCGAAAGCAUUUGUCAGAAAUGUUUUCUGCGACAAAGGAUGAAGGUCAGGGUAUCGAAGACGAUUAGAUACCGUCGUAGUCCUGACUGUAAACUAUGCCGACUUGGAUCUUGCAGAGCUAUACUUUGUGAGAUCCAACCAGAAAUGAAAGUGUAUGGGUUCUGGGGGUAGUAUGGACACAAGUCUGAAACUUGAAGGAAUUGACGGAAGAGCACCAUCAGACGUGGAGCUUGCGGCUUAAUUUGACCCAACGCGGGAAAACUUACCAGGUCAAGACAUGGGCGUGAUUGACAGGCUAAUGACCUUUCUCGAUUCCUUGGAUGGUGGUGCAUGGUCGCACUUAGUUGGUGCAGUGAUUUGUCAGGUUUAUUCCGGUAACGAACGAGACCUCGGCCUUGUAACUAGUACUUGCUUCUUACAGGGACUGUGAUGCUACGUCAAGG
This 1245-nucleotide ribosomal RNA is filed under the name metagenome. RNAcentral describes it as "SSU rRNA". It matches the Rfam family "Eukaryotic small subunit ribosomal RNA", at positions 3 to 1440 of the family's 1831-position model. The record is from RNAcentral.